GACGAACGCUGGCGGCGUGCUUAACACAUGCAAGUCGAACGGAAAGGCCUCUUUCGGGGGGUACUCGAGUGGCGAACGGGUGAGUAACACGUGAGUAACCUGCCCUUGACUUUGGGAUAACUUCAGGAAACUGGGGCUAAUACCGGAUAGGAGCUCCUGCUGCAUGGUGGGGGUUGGAAAGUUUCGGCGGUUGGGGAUGGACUCGCGGCUUAUCAGCUUGUUGGUGGGGUAGUGGCUUACCAAGGCUUUGACGGGUAGCCGGCCUGAGAGGGUGACCGGCCACAUUGGGACUGAGAUACGGCCCAGACUCCUACGGGAGGCAGCAGUGGGGAAUAUUGCACAAUGGGUGGACGCCUGAUGCAGCAACGCCGUGUGCGGGAUGACGGCCUUCGGGCUGUAAACCGCUUUCGCUCAUGACGAAGCUUUGUGUGACGGUAGUGGGUAAAGAAGCACCGGCUAACUACGUG
This 467-nucleotide ribosomal RNA is filed under the name uncultured bacterium. RNAcentral's name for it is "partial 16S ribosomal RNA". It matches the Rfam family "Bacterial small subunit ribosomal RNA", at positions 28 to 507 of the family's 1533-position model. The record is from RNAcentral.